RNAcentral lists this long non-coding RNA (5200 nucleotides) under Brassica rapa (field mustard). RNAcentral's name for it is "long non-coding RNA (BRAP_LNC000009)". The record is from RNAcentral. Lineage: Eukaryota; Viridiplantae; Streptophyta; Magnoliopsida; Brassicales; Brassicaceae.
ACUAAUCGAAGCUCUGAAACACGCUUUCGCGGUUAGGAUGAACCUUGCUGAUCCAGAUUUUGUAGAUGUUACUAAGGUUGUUUCAGAUAUGCUGUCUCCGGAAUUUGCAAAAGACUUGAAGACCAAGAUAAACGAUGACAAAACCUUUGAUCCAAAAUAUUAUGGCGGCAUGUAAGGCGUUUUUCAUAUCUUAAACCCACUCGCUGGUUUCUUCUUCUUUUUUUUUCUUGAUUUAUUAAUAAUAUUCGUUUCUCCAACUCUGUAGGUGGAAUCAAAUCAACCAUCAUGGAACAUGCCAUUUCUCGAUCAUAGAUAGCGAGAGGAACGCUGUUUCGAUGACUAGUUCAGUAAACGGUUACUUUGGGGCAGUGAUGCUAUCUCCAAGCACUGGAAUCGUUCUAAACAACCAAAUGGAUGAUUUCACGAUCCCAGCAAAGUCCAGCGGUGACCUAAAUGUGCCUCCUCCAGCACCGGCUAGCUUCAUCAGACCCGGGAAACGACCAUUGUCCUCAAUGUCACCCACCAUUGUGCUCAAGGUUUAGGAAAAAAAAAACACACUUGUUACUUGUCUUACACGAAAUUCUUAGUUAGGCUCCAAACAAUGGGUUUCAUGCGCUUUGUUUAUGUAGGACGGCAAAGUGAAAGCUGUGGUGGGUGCUAGCGGUGGAGCGAACAUCAUCGCCGCGACAACAGAAGUUUUCUUGAAUCAUUUUUUCCUCAACAUGGAUCCUCUUUCUUCUGUUUUGGCUCCAAGAAUCUACCAUCAGGUCAUUUGCUUCUCUUUUUUUUCUUCUUAUACCCCAAGAAUAAUCUUUCUUGUUCUUUGUCUAUAACUAAGAAAAUGUUUUUUUUUUUAAUUUAUAAUUCCAUUGUGCAGCUGAUACCAAACAAAAUUUCGUUUGAGAAUUUGACGACAGUGUUCGGUGAUCAUUUCGAGAUACCUAAAGAGACAAGAGUUGUGUUGGAAAAGAAAGGUCAUGUUCUAACGCCAAUGACCGGAGCGACGAUUGUUCAGUUCAUAGUUCAAGAAUCCGAUGGAAAUGUCGGCGGAAUGAGUAAGCUUCUGGCAGUUAGUGAUCCAAGGAAAGGAGGGUUCCCCUCAGGAUAUUGAAUUAUUGAGAUUGUAUUUAGUUUUGCUGCCAUUUAACAUUUAUUGACGAAUAAAAUAAAUAAAAUUUUGUACUGUCUUUUUCUUUCUUUUUGCAAUAAUGUUGAUCCAGAUAUAUAUGUAUAUUUCUACAAUCUUAAUAUGGGGAAUAUAGGAAUUAGAGGUUCCAUUAAACAACCAACCUUAAUUCUCAUGUACGUUAACGUUAGUGUGGGUUUGUGACGUAGGAGCUACAUAUAAGUUAAGUUCAUUUCAUUCAUAGCUAGAUCAUAUCAAACUUUGUGGUCUACCAUGAAAAAAUAAUGACAAUACGAUUGGAUCUACCUUGAGAAUAAUUCUUUGUGACAUAACAUCUCGGGUGAUGUCUAUGAAAAAGGAUACAUGAAUUUUUGUUUGUAUACCCCCAAAGGAGUGCCAUGCACAGAGAGCAUCAUCUCUCCAGGUUUUGGUUGCCUCCGAGUCUUUGGUGCUGUCAUCCCAAAAUGAAGAAGUCUUUGCCCUCCAUUUACCUGCAAAGUUUACUAUUGUCAUUCUAAAACACUCCAAACUAAUGAGAUAUCAGUUUUUUAACAAGAGUAUAAAACAAGAAUACAAUCAUGAAUACAUAUACCAUAGAAAACGAGAGUUUGAAAGGCAGAACAGUACAAGAUCCAUUUUAAAGGGUAGCCACCAAGAGAUGAAUCACCAGUAUUGUGAUUCCACUUGAACUCAAUCUCCCCAUUAUCUUCGACUUCGAUAGAGACAUCAGGAAGGUUCUCUUUGAAGAAGUCCAACACAGGUGUCUCUAACUGUUCCUCAGAGAACGUUGAGCAGAGUAACCUCUGUGCAGUUAAGCUCUGUUCAAUCUCAAUAUCACGGAUUGCCUUAAUCGCAUCAAUACGUCUUUCAACUACACAAUAUCAUCAGAUCCAAAGUUCAUCUCAAAAAUCAUUAAUUCUACAAAUUUGAUUAACGAUUGGUAUCUUCUUCUUCAUGUUUCUUCUCUUCUCUCCGAAUCUCUUUGUCGCUCUCGUCCUUGUUUUCUUCUUCAGUGAGUCUGACAACUUCUUUUGCUUUUCGCUUCGGCAUUAUCGACACUUCUAAUUCGAGAUUGAGCUUCAAACCCCCAAAACUGGAAUUUGAAUAGACGACACAGACAUUAUUAAAUGAGCGGGGGAGAUUAGUAGGUUCAAAUGAAAUUAAACAAAUGCUUGGCAGACACUACCAAAUAACGGUUCUACCCUCGAUUAGAAUAAGGCUUAUGAGCCCAUUAAUAUUAGAGUCAUCGAAUAACAUUUCGUUAAAAGGCCAUUUUGUUCCCUAUAGGCCCGGACAUCCAUUUUUAUACUAAAAGAAGAUGUUGUGGUGUGAUUGAUUGUGACGAGAGAUAUUUCCUUUUUAAAGAAAACCUAUGAUUCCACUCUUUUUUUUUUCACACUCCACGAGGGACAAGCAUGAUGCAGACGAGCACUUGGUUUUAUGACCAAUUAACAAAUUCGCAUUUAAAAAGUUGGCACGGCCUUCUUUCUAAAAACCUCACGGGUUUGUUUACUUCAAAAUUAUAAGUAAUAUUUUUUUUAUUUUUUUUUUAGUGAAAAUGUGUAAAUUGUCAAAUGAUUAACUUGGAUUAAGAUCUUACCACAAACUGUUUCUUUUUUCUGCUAUUUAUUUGGUGAUUUUCAAAAAUAAGCCAUGUGGAGUGUUGGACCAGCUUUGUGUAUUUAUUACAUAGUUGAAAAAAAUAGAGUAUAUUCUCUAUAUAAUUAAAGACUUUACGUCAUUAAAAAAAACUUUAUCAACGUGAGAGGCAAAAAAAAAUAGAAACUUUUUCAAAAAGACUAGGUGACUUUUGAGGAAUGGAUAUAAAGAAGAGAACUCAAAUGAGACUUUCGGCCAGAGACUUAAAAAUCAUCCGAAUAGAUCUACUAUUGCCUGCCAAGGACGACAACUUAUAAGAAAGUGACGUCUCGAUGAAUUGUAAGUUUUUCUACUCUUGUAUAUUUUGUUUAACCAACCAUCCGGUAUUUUCUCACCUAGUCUCUCAACGUUUCGUAUAUAAUCUGAAGUUACAGACUGGACCAUGGUUUCUCAUUUUCUGGAUUUUUACAUGCAAAUUUAGAACUUGGACUUGGUAAAUUUUGAAUGGCUUUAUUAGCUCAGAACACAAGUACUCGUUUUUUGAGCUUCGUUUUAUUGGUCAACACAUUAAGAUAAAGUUUUUUUGUUGGGUGUUGAGCUAUAUUGUCUAUACGCGUGAUGGCUAAUUUAAACUUUUCAAUAUUUGACCAUUAGUAUAUUUUCAAUUUCUGAACAAGGUCGAACUAUUCUCUGAAUUUAUAUUUACACGACGAAUCUUGGAUCAUCCCAGCGUUAAAGAUCAUCUGUGAGAAAUCUCUGGUUUGAUUUGAUUCUUGUAUUAAUCGCAGCAAUGCCACUGGUUCGGACAGCGUUGAUCGCUCUUUUUCUAGUCGCUUUUCUGCAAAACGCCGCGGCUCAGAAAAGACCGCAAAGUAUUGUUAAGUCUCGUGGUGCGGUUGCAACUGACGAUGGACGGUGUUCAGUGAUCGGGAUGAGUGUUCUUAGGCAAGGAGGAAACGCUAUUGAUGCGUCGGUGGCAGCUGCUCUCUGUCUAGGCGUUGUGAGUCCAGCCUCUAGCGGUAUAGGAGGUGGAGCAUUUACAGUGGUUAAGAUAGCUGGCGGGAAGGCUAUCGCCUAUGAUUCUAGAGAAACAGCUCCUCUCGGCGCCACUGAGGUAACAACGGUCAUAGUAAUAACGUCUUUCUUUUUGCAAUAUGCGUUUUGAAAUAUGAGUUUGCUCUUUGGUGUAGAACAUUAAAUCAUUAAUGUAGGUAAUAGCGUCUCUGUUCUGAGCUUUCUUAAAUCGUUAUUUUGAACGCGCUUUUGAGCUCAAAUAGCGUUUUGUUACAUAUGUUCUUCUUAGAUAAGCGUUUAAAUGUGAUCUUCAGCCUAAUAGGCGGCUUGAAUCAUAGAAUGUGUGCAGGUAAUAGCGUUUCUUGACAUUUUUCUUCUGAUUAAAUAUACCAGGAAACGCUCUCUUGAACUUAGAUCUCAACGUUUAUGAAUCAUAGACAGUCUUGGUUAUAUAGAAUAAUGCAACAGGGUUUCUCAUCGUUUAUUCACAUACUCGUUUUGGACAUUUAUAAUUGGUUGAUUUUCUUGAUGUAGGAUAUGUAUGGAAGCAAUCCUGAUCUAAAGAAGAAAGGAGCCUUAUCAGCAGGCGUUCCAGGGGAAGUCGCGGGUCUAUUCACAGCUUGGAAACAACACGGAAAGCUCCCAUGGAAACAGUUAGUGACUCCUGCAGAGAAACUUGCAGAAGGAUUCAGGGUUUCAAAGUAUCUCUACAUGCAGAUGAACGCCACAAGAGUCGAUAUCUUGGCAGACAAAGGUCUCUCUGAGCUAUUUGUUUCAAAUGGAGAGCUCAAGAAACCAGGGACCAUUAUCCAUAACACAAAAUUAGCAUUUACACUCAAGCAAAUCGGUGAAUAUGGUCCAAAAGCGUUUUACAAUGGCACGGUCGGGGUUAACCUAGCUAGAGAUAUUCGUAAAGCUGGUGGGGUAAUAACUUUGAAAGAUCUGCAAAGUUAUAGAGUUAAGGUUACCAAACCGUUGUCUGCAAACAUUCUCGGGUACGAACUACUCGGUAUGCCUCCUCCUUCAUCAGGUGGUGCUGCAAUGAUGCUUGUAAGUCCCAUUUUAUAGAGAAUUUUUUCACAUUUUAUUAGACCAAGGUUUUCACAGAGUUUCUUGUAGUGCAGGUUUUGAACAUUCUUUCUCAAUAUGGGAUUCCUUCAGGUGUUUCUGGCUCUCUAGGUGUUCAUCGACUAAUCGAAGCUCUGAAACACGCUUUCGCUGUUAGGAUGAACCUUGCUGAUCCAGAUUUUGUAGAUGUUACUAAGGUCGUUUCAGACAUGCUGUCUCCGGAAUUUGCAAAAGACUUGAAGAAGAAGAUAAACGAUGACAAAACCUUUGAUCCAAAAUAUUAUGGUGGCAUGUAAGACCUUUUCAUAUGCUGGUUUCUUUUUUGUUUCUUGAUUUAUCAAUAUAAUUAAAUUUUUUUCCAUUUUUUAGGUGGAAUCAAAUAGACGAUCAUGG